This 76-nucleotide transfer RNA is filed under the name Capsulimonas corticalis. Its description in RNAcentral is "tRNA-Arg". It matches the Rfam family "tRNA". Rfam says of the family: Transfer RNA (tRNA) molecules are approximately 80 nucleotides in length. Their secondary structure includes four short double-helical elements and three loops (D, anti-codon, and T loops). The record is from RNAcentral. RNAcentral also lists the same sequence under 1 other name. Lineage: Bacteria; Bacillati; Armatimonadota; Armatimonadia; Capsulimonadales; Capsulimonadaceae.
CUCUCCGUAGCUCAGCGGAUAGAGCAACAGUUUUCUAAACUGUCGGCCGCAGGUUCGAAUCCUGCCGGGGGGACCA